AUUGAACGCUGGCGACAUGCCUUACACAUGCAAGUCGAACGGCAGCACGGGUGCUUGCCCCUGGUGGCGAGUGGCGAACGGGUGAGUAAUACAUCGGAACAUGUCCUGUAGUGGGGGAUAGCCCGGCGAAAGCCGGAUUAAUACCGCAUACGAUCUACGGAUGAAAGCGGGGGACCUUCGGGCCUCGCGCUAUCGGGUUGGCCGAUGGCUGAUUAGCUAGUUGGUGGGGUAAAGGCCUACCAAGGCGACGAUCAGUAGCUGGUCUGAGAGGACGACCAGCCACACUGGGACUGAGACACGGCCCAGACUCCUACGGGAGGCAGCAGUGGGGAAUUUUGGACAAUGGGCGAAAGCCUGAUCCAGCAAUGCCGCGUGUGUGAAGAAGGCCUUCGGGUUGUAAAGCACUUUUGUCCGGAAAGAAAUCCUUGGCCCUAAUACGGUCGGGGGAUGACGGUACCGGAAGAAUAAGCACCGGCUAACUACGUG
Molecule: ribosomal RNA, 486 nt
Filed under: uncultured bacterium
Lineage: Bacteria
Description: partial 16S ribosomal RNA
Rfam family: Bacterial small subunit ribosomal RNA
Source: RNAcentral